RNAcentral lists this long non-coding RNA (1468 nucleotides) under Homo sapiens (human). Its description in RNAcentral is "HSALNT0006310". Lineage: Eukaryota; Metazoa; Chordata; Mammalia; Primates; Hominidae. The record is from RNAcentral.
CAGCCAGUGAGCCGCCUGAUGCCACCAAGGCAUCUGCAGACUGAGCUCCAUCAUUUUCCAUCAUCCAGAGGAGCAGUUCAGGUCACCUUAUCCUUCCAGUUCCUCCUCCAGUAGGCAAAGACCCUUGGCCAAGAAGUUCCAGGAAUCUCCCCCUGCUUCAGCUUCCUAUAAACAGAUAUUUCAUGUACAGGUACUUAAAUGCACCAAGAAUGUGGCUCUGGAAGGAGAUCCAGUUCCACACAGCAAGAUUUCUUAAAGUGAAUCCUGUCGUGCUCCCCUGCUAGCUCAGAGCAGGAAGUGUAACAAUUAAGAGACCGUCAAAGCUACAAAGCUCUUAGAACAAAUCCAACCUUCCCACCCCUCCCAUUUAUAGAUGGCAAGGGCAAGGCCAAGAACGGGACAGGGAUCUGUUUGAGCACAUCAAUGGCAGCCCUAGGACCAGAAUCCAAUAUUCCUUUCUCUCACCCUUGUGUAGAAAGCGGCUGAUAGGAAUAAAACACGUUCUUUUUGCUCCACUCUUCAUUAUUUCAGGCUCACCAAGAAACAACCACCUCCCGCCUCCACACACCCUGCAAAACUAAUUUGACUGAAAGAUGGCUUACAUCAAUCACACUGAUGAUCAAGAGCGAAGAAAGGACGAGGAUGGGCAGAAACAUCACACACACAUGCAGCACAGAGACAGGGCUGGAAGGCUGAGCAAGAGUCAGAGCUACAGUUGGAAGUAUUGGAAAGCGGCAGCGGAUUCUCGGGGUGAUGGGAAAAGCAAAAUCUGCUUCACUAAAACUCCGUCGGUGAUCAACUUUUUCAGCAGUCCUCCGAUUCCCGACUAGAAGGCAAAAGCCUGGCCCAGGCCACGGGAGGCACUUCACUAAAGAAGAAAAACCUGAGCUCCAGCAAGCUCAGUAACUUCAUCAGUCACCUAAUUGAACGAGAACCCAGAGCAACUCAGUCCAGGCUGCACAAAUUGAGUAGCACUGCUCUGCAGCUCGCUGCACUAAAAGUGGAAGAUAUUUUCCAUUACAGCAAGUGCUCCCACAGAAGGAUCACGAGCCACACACGGAGCCUUACUCUCCAAAUAGGCGCCCAUGGCCCAGUCGUCCCUUAGCCUAAGAACUCAGAGAGCCAGGCUGUAAUAAUGGGGCUGCCGUGUGAGCACAGCAGCCAUCGAGCUGCUCCGGUUCAUUUCCCAGAGGUUGAGCUGCAGUGUGUCCAGUAUUUAAAAGUAUGGAACUUGUUUCAGGGCUGACCCAUUCUUGCCCAAUUCAUCUUCCCCGUGUGAAGUUAUUUAGCAAACAGCCAAGUUCAGCUGGAAAUCGUUUUUCAUCCCCUCCAACUUCUAGUCACAUGGGCAGCUGGCCAGCUACAUGUUAACAAGCGCCUCAGAACUCCUAAGACACCACCGGCCUCUGUUCCCUUCAGUGCAUUCUUGUAAAUAAAUAAAUAAUAAAACCUGCCUUUACCACCCCCU